Molecule: transfer RNA, 73 nt
Filed under: Talaromyces stipitatus ATCC 10500
Lineage: Eukaryota; Fungi; Ascomycota; Eurotiomycetes; Eurotiales; Trichocomaceae
Description: tRNA-Phe (GAA) (tRNA-Phe-GAA-1-1)
Rfam family: tRNA
About the family: Transfer RNA (tRNA) molecules are approximately 80 nucleotides in length. Their secondary structure includes four short double-helical elements and three loops (D, anti-codon, and T loops).
Source: RNAcentral
GGGGUGGUGGCGUAGUUGGGAACGCGUUAGUCUGAAGAACUAAAGAUCCAUGGUUCGAUUCCGUGUCACCCCA